Molecule: long non-coding RNA, 641 nt
Organism: Chenopodium quinoa (quinoa)
Lineage: Eukaryota; Viridiplantae; Streptophyta; Magnoliopsida; Caryophyllales; Amaranthaceae
Exons: 2
Source: RefSeq, a predicted model, not a curated record
GAGUUAGGAUCCCACCACUAGUAGAAAAAGUUAAAAAGGCACCGCUCAAUGGCCACCGGUUUUUGAAAACCGGUGGCAAAAAUAGGGGAAAAAAUGCGCAGGAUUUUGAGGUAUUAGAAUUGCCACCGGUUCAUACCAAACCGGUGGGAAAAUAAAAAUCCCACCGGUUCAAACCGGUGGCUUAGAUAUAGUUUUAAAAAAAAAAAAAUUCGCCCCUUAUAAACCCCAAACCCUAAUUGGAUCAUCAGUUCAUCAAUCCCCUCCCCUCCUCCUCAAUCGUUUCUCUCUCCUGCACUCCCCUCCCCUCCUCCUCUUUCUCUCUCCUGCACUCCCCUCUCCUCCUUCGUAAUCUGCGCGACCAUCAGUUCUCCCCUUUCUUUCUCUAUCCUCUCUCCCCUCUCCUCCUUCUCUUUCUCAUCUUCUUCUCUCUCGAUCUGAUCUCUUCUCCUUCGAUCUCCUUCUCGUCUCCUUCUCCUUCUCUUUCAUUUCCACCACCACCAAGACCAUCGCCGCAACCACGAACACAUGCAUGAGCAACAACAACUUUAAUCAAGGUACAUUGAUUUAGAUCUUAAUCGAAUAAUCAUGAUGCAGGAAUAUUGUUUUUGAUGUUGUAUGGUUUUUUUUUCUAUUUUGAUGAU